Molecule: ribosomal RNA, 497 nt
Filed under: uncultured Pseudomonadota bacterium
Lineage: Bacteria; Pseudomonadati; Pseudomonadota
Description: bacterial SSU rRNA
Rfam family: Bacterial small subunit ribosomal RNA
Source: RNAcentral
AAACUCAAAUGAAUUGACGGGGCACCCGCACAAGCGGUGGAUGAUGUGGUUUAAUUCGAUGCAACGCGAAAAACCUUACCUACCCUUGACAUGUCAAGAAUUCUGCAGAGAUGUGGAAGUGCUCGAAAGAGAACUUGAACACAGGUGCUGCAUGGCCGUCGUCAGCUCGUGUCGUGAGAUGUUGGGUUAAGUCCCGCAACGAGCGCAACCCUUGUCAUUAGUUGCUACGAAAGGGCACUCUAAUGAGACUGCCGGUGACAAACCGGAGGAAGGUGGGGAUGACGUCAGGUCCUCAUGGCCCUUAUGGGUAGGGCUACACACGUCAUACAAUGGCCGGUACAGAGGGCUGCCAACCCGCGAGGGGGAGCUAAUCCCAGAAAACCGGUCGUAGUCCGGAUCGUAGUCUGCAACUCGACUGCGUGAAGUCGGAAUCGCUAGUAAUCGCGGAUCAGCUUGCCGCGGUGAAUACGUUCCCGGGUCUUGUACACACCGCCCGU